This 764-nucleotide ribosomal RNA is filed under the name uncultured beta proteobacterium. RNAcentral's name for it is "bacterial SSU rRNA". It matches the Rfam family "Bacterial small subunit ribosomal RNA", at positions 104 to 864 of the family's 1533-position model. Lineage: Bacteria; Pseudomonadati; Pseudomonadota; Betaproteobacteria. The record is from RNAcentral.
GGGUGAGUAAUGCAUCGGAACAUGCCAACUGUGGGGGAUAACGUANCNAAAGUUACGCUAAUACCGCAUACGAUCUACGGAUGAAAGCGGGGGACUCGCAAGGGCCUCGCGCAGUUGGAGUGGCUGAUGUCAGAUUAGCUAGUUGGUAGGGUAAAAGCCUACCAAGGCAACGAUCUGUAGCUGGUCUGAGAGGACGACCAGCCACACUGGGACUGAGACACGGCCCAGACUCCUACGGGAGGCAGCAGUGGGGAAUUUUGGACAAUGGACGAAAGUCUGAUCCAGCAAUGCCGCGUGCAGGACGAAGGCCUUCGGGUUGUAAACUGCUUUUGUACGGAGCGAAAAGGUUCAUUUUAAUAAAGUGGGCUCAUGACGGUACCGUAAGAAUAGGCACCGGCUAACUGCGUGCCAGCAGCCGCGGUAAUACGUAGGGUGCAAGCGUUAAUCGGAAUUACUGGGCGUAAAGCGUCCGCAGGCGGUUCUAUAAGACAGAUGUGAAAUCCCUGGGCUCAACCUAGGAACUGCAUUUGUGACUGUAGAGCUAGAGUACGGCAGAGGGGGAUGGAAUUCCGCGUGUAGCAGUGAAAUGCGUAGAUAUGCGGAGGAACACCGAUGGCGAAGGCAAUCCCCUGGGCCUGUACUGACGCUCAUGGACGAAAGCGUGGGGAGCAAACAGGANUAGAUACCCUGGUAGUCCACGCCCUAAACGAUGUCAACUGGUUGUUGGGUCUUCAGUGACUCAGUAACGAAGCUAACGCGUGAAG